AGUGAACGCUGGCGGUAGGCCUAACACAUGCCAGUCGAACGGCAGCACAGUAAGAGCUUGCUCUUACGGGUGGCGAGUGGCGGACGGGUGAGGAAUACAUCGGAAUCUACUUUUUCGUGGGGGAUAACGUAGGGAAACUUACGCUGAUACCGCAUACGACCUACGGGUGAAAGCAGGGGAUCUUCGGACCUUGCGCGAUUGAAUGAGCCGAUGUCGGAUUAGCUAGUUGGCGGGGUAAAGGCCCACCAAGGCGACGAUCCGUAGCUGGUCUGAGAGGAUGAUCAGCCACACUGGAAGUGAGACACGGUCCAGACUCCUACGGGAGGCAGCAGUGGGGAAUAUUGGACAAUGGGCGCAAGCCUGAUCCAGCCAUACCGCGUGGGUGAAGAAGGCCUUCGGGUUGUAAAGCCCUUUUGUUGGGAAAGAAAAGCAGCAGGUUAAUACCCCGCUGUUCUGACGGUACCCAAAGAAUAAGCACCGGCUAACUUCGUG
Molecule: ribosomal RNA, 492 nt
Filed under: uncultured bacterium
Lineage: Bacteria
Description: partial 16S ribosomal RNA
Rfam family: Bacterial small subunit ribosomal RNA
Source: RNAcentral